AAUAUUGGACAAUGGGCGAAAGCCUGAUCCAGCCAUGCCGCGUGUGUGAAGAAGGUAUUCGGAUUGUAAAGCACUUUAAGAGGGGAGGAAGGGGAUGAAGCUAAUACCUCCAAUCUUCUACGUUACCAACAGAAUAAUCACCGGCUACAUCUAUGCCAGCAGCCGCGGUAAGACAGAGGGUGCAAGCGUUAAUCGGAAUUACUGGACGUAAAGCACGCGUAGGUGGUUCAGUAAGAUGGAAGUGAAAUCCCCGGGCUUAACCUGGGAACUGCUUUCAUAACUGCUGAGCUAGAGUACGGUAGAGGGUAGUGGAAUUUCCUGUGUAGCGGUGAAAUGCGUAGAUAUAGGAAGGAACACCAGUGGCGAAGGCGACUACCUGGACUGAUACUGACACUGAGGUGCGAAAGCGUGGGGAGCAAACAGG
RNAcentral lists this ribosomal RNA (424 nucleotides) under uncultured bacterium. RNAcentral describes it as "partial 16S ribosomal RNA". It matches the Rfam family "Bacterial small subunit ribosomal RNA", at positions 360 to 776 of the family's 1533-position model. The record is from RNAcentral.